Molecule: ribosomal RNA, 735 nt
Filed under: uncultured Fusobacterium sp.
Lineage: Bacteria; Fusobacteriati; Fusobacteriota; Fusobacteriia; Fusobacteriales; Fusobacteriaceae
Description: bacterial SSU rRNA
Rfam family: Bacterial small subunit ribosomal RNA
Source: RNAcentral
GAUGAACGCUGACAGAAUGCUUAACACAUGCAAGUCUACUUGAAUUUGGGUUUUUAACUUAGAUUUGGGUGGCGGACGGGUGAGUAACGCGUAAAGAACUUGCCUCACAGCUAGGGACAACAUUUAGAAAUGAAUGCUAAUACCUAAUAUUAUGAUAAUAGGGCAUCCUAUAAUUAUGAAAGCUAUAUGCGCUGUGAGAGAGCUUUGCGUCCCAUUAGCUAGUUGGAGAGGUAACAGCUCACCAAGGCGAUGAUGGGUAGCCGGCCUGAGAGGGUGAUCGGCCACAAGGGGACUGAGACACGGCCCUUACUCCUACGGGAGGCAGCAGUGGGGAAUAUUGGACAAUGGACCGAGAGUCUGAUCCAGCAAUUCUGUGUGCACGAUGAAGUUUUUCGGAAUGUAAAGUGCUUUCAGUUGGGAAGAAAGAAAUGACGGUACCAACAGAAGAAGUGACGGCUAAAUACGUGCCAGCAGCCGCGGUAAUACGUAUGUCACGAGCGUUAUCCGGAUUUAUUGGGCGUAAAGCGCGUCUAGGUGGUUAUAUAAGUCUGAUGUGAAAAUGCAGGGCUCAACUCUGUAUUGCGUUGGAAACUGUAUAACUAGAGUACUGGAGAGGUAAGCGGAACUAUAAGUGUAGAGGUGAAAUUCGUAGAUAUUUGUAGGAAUGCCGAUGGGGAAGCCAGCUUACUGGACAGAUACUGACGCUGAAGCGCGAAAGCGUGGGUAGCAAACAGG